This 937-nucleotide ribosomal RNA is filed under the name Fusarium sp. 15H4-P3-P1-1. Its description in RNAcentral is "eukaryotic LSU rRNA". It matches the Rfam family "Eukaryotic large subunit ribosomal RNA", at positions 134 to 1100 of the family's 3401-position model. Lineage: Eukaryota; Fungi; Ascomycota; Sordariomycetes; Hypocreales; Nectriaceae. The record is from RNAcentral.
GGGCCCGAGUUGUAAUUUGUAGAGGAUGCUUUUGGUGAGGUGCCUUCCGAGUUUCCUGGAACGGGACGCCAUAGAGGGUGAGAGCCCCGUCUGGUUGGACGCCGAACCUCUGUAAAGCUCCUUCGACGAGUCGAGUAGUUUGGGAAUGCUGCUCUAAAUGGGAGGUAUAUGUCUUCUAAAGCUAAAUACCGGCCAGAGACCGAUAGCGCACAAGUAGAGUGAUCGAAAGAUGAAAAGAACUUUGAAAAGAGAGUUAAACAGUACGUGAAAUUGUUGAAAGGGAAGCGCUUGUGACCAGACUUGGGCUUGGUUGAUCAUCCGGGGUUCUCCCCGGUGCACUCUUCCGGCCCAGGCCAGCAUCAGUUCGCCCUGGGGGACAAAGGCUUCGGGAACGUGGCUCUCUCCGGGGAGUGUUAUAGCCCGUUGCGUAAUACCCUGUGGCGGACUGAGGUUCGCGCAUUCGCAAGGAUGCUGGCGUAAUGGUCAUCAGUGACCCGUCUUGAAACACGGACCAAGGAGUCGUCUUCGUAUGCGAGUGUUCGGGUGUCAAACCCCUACGCGAAAUGAAAGUGAACGCAGGUGAGAGCUUCGGCGCAUCAUCGACCGAUCCUGAUGUUAUCGGAUGGAUUUGAGUAAGAGCAUACGGGGCCGGACCCGAAAGAAGGUGAACUAUGCCUGUGUAGGGUGAAGCCAGAGGAAACUCUGGUGGAGGCUCGCAGCGGUUCUGACGUGCAAAUCGAUCGUCAAACAUGGGCAUGGGGGCGAAAGACUAAUCGAACCUUCUAGUAGCUGGUUUCCGCCGAAGUUUCCCUCAGGAUAGCAGUGUUGAACUCAGUUUUAUGAGGUAAAGCGAAUGAUUAGGGACUCGGGGGCGCUAUUUAGCCUUCAUCCAUUCUCAAACUUUAAAUAUGUAAGAAGCCCUUGUUGCUUAAUGAAC